RNAcentral lists this transfer RNA (74 nucleotides) under Chloroflexota bacterium. RNAcentral describes it as "Chloroflexi bacterium tRNA-Arg". It matches the Rfam family "tRNA". From Rfam's summary of the family: Transfer RNA (tRNA) molecules are approximately 80 nucleotides in length. Lineage: Bacteria; Bacillati; Chloroflexota. RNAcentral also lists the same sequence under 2 other names. The record is from RNAcentral.
GUCCCCGUAGCUCAGCCCGGAUAGAGCACCGGCCUCCGGAGCCGGGAGCACAGGUUCAAAUCCUGUCGGGGACA